GACGAACGCUGGCGGCGUGCUUAACACAUGCAAGUCGAGCGGUAAGGCCCUUUCGGGGGUACGACGAGCGGCGAACGGGUGAGUAACACGUGGGUGACCUGCCCUCAGCUCUGGGAUAAGCCUGGGAAACCGGGUCUAAUACUGGAUAUGACUCCAUGACGCAUGUUGUGGGGUGGAAAGCCUUGUGCGGCUGAGGAUGGGCCCGCGGCCUAUCAGCUUGUUGGUGGGGUGAGGCCUACCAAGGCGACGACGGGUAGCCGGCCUGAGAGGGCGACCGGCCACACUGGGACUGAGACACGGCCCAGACUCCUACGGGAGGCAGCAGUGGGGAAUCUUGCGCAAUGGGCGAAAGCCUGACGCAGCGA
This 365-nucleotide ribosomal RNA is filed under the name uncultured bacterium. RNAcentral's name for it is "bacterial SSU rRNA". It matches the Rfam family "Bacterial small subunit ribosomal RNA", at positions 28 to 394 of the family's 1533-position model. The record is from RNAcentral.